This 351-nucleotide ribosomal RNA is filed under the name uncultured bacterium. Its description in RNAcentral is "bacterial SSU rRNA". It matches the Rfam family "Bacterial small subunit ribosomal RNA", at positions 8 to 349 of the family's 1533-position model. The record is from RNAcentral.
AGAGUUUGAUCCUGGCUCAGGAUGAACGCUAGCUACAGGCUUAACACAUGCAAGUCGAGGGGAAACGACAUCGAAAGCUUGCUUUUGAUGGGCGUCGACCGGCGCACGGGUGAGUAACGCGUAUCCAACCUGCCCACCACUUGGGGAUAACCUUGCGAAAGUAAGACUAAUACCCAAUGAUAUCUCUAGAAGACAUCUGAAAGAGAUUAAAGAUUUAUCGGUGAUGGGAUGGGGAUGCGUCUGAUUAGCUUGUUGGCGGGGUAACGGCCACCAAGGCGACGAUCAGUAGGGGUUCUGAGAGGAAGUCCCCCANAUUGGAACUGAGACACGGUCCAAACUCCUACGGGAGCA